RNAcentral lists this ribosomal RNA (253 nucleotides) under uncultured bacterium. RNAcentral's name for it is "partial 16S ribosomal RNA". It matches the Rfam family "Bacterial small subunit ribosomal RNA", at positions 524 to 776 of the family's 1533-position model. RNAcentral also lists the same sequence under 1 other name. The record is from RNAcentral.
UACGUAGGUGGCGAGCGUUAUCCGGAAUUACUGGGCGUAAAGCGCACGCAGGCGGUCUCUUAAGUUUGACGUGAAAGCUCCCGGCUUAACUGGGAGAGGUCGUUGAAUACUGGGGGACUUGAGGCAAUGAGAGGGAUGCAGAAUUCCAGGUGUAGUGGUGGAAUGCGUAGAUAUCUGGAGGAAUACCAGUGGCGAAAGCGGCAUCCUAGCGUUAGCCUGACGCUCAUGUGCGAAAGCGUGGGGAGCGAACGGG